GUAGGGGGCAAGCGUUGUCCGGGAAUUAUUGGGGCGUAAAGCGCGCGCAGGCGGUCUCUUAAGGUCUGAUGUGAAAGCCCACGGGCUCAACCGUGGAGGGUCAUUGGAAACUGGGAGACUUGAGUGUAGGAGAGGAAAGUGGAAUUCCACGUGUAGCGGUGAAAUGCGUAGAUAUGUGGAGGAACACCAGUGGCGAAGGCGACUUUCUGGCCUACAACUGACGCUGAGGCGCGAAAGCGUGGGGAGCAAACAGGAUUAGAUACCCUGGUAGUCCACGCUGUAAACGAUGAGUGCUAGGUGUUAGGGGUUUCGAUGCCCUUAGUGCCGAAGUUAACACAUUAAGCACUCCGCCUGGGGAGUACGGCCGCAAAGGCUG
RNAcentral lists this ribosomal RNA (376 nucleotides) under uncultured organism. RNAcentral's name for it is "partial 16S ribosomal RNA". It matches the Rfam family "Bacterial small subunit ribosomal RNA", at positions 527 to 896 of the family's 1533-position model. The record is from RNAcentral.